This 593-nucleotide long non-coding RNA is filed under the name Mus caroli (Ryukyu mouse). Its description in RNAcentral is "lncRNA (MGP_CAROLIEiJ_G0013376.1)". The record is from RNAcentral. Lineage: Eukaryota; Metazoa; Chordata; Mammalia; Rodentia; Muridae.
CUGUGAGCAUUCUUAGAGUCAUGAAUCAUGACGACAAAUUUAAUUCUGAGAUCAACAUCAUAAAGUAUCCAGUGACAGCGAUAAGAAGUAGUCUUUUAUAAGUCGGUAAAUGUAAAUAAAAAUUGACUAGGAAGUCAUUUUCAAUCAAAAAGCAGCUCACAAGAUGACUACACAUAUGUAUGUAUGUAUAUAUGUAAGAAGAAAGUGUGACAGAAUAAGGACCAUGUAGGUGAGGGAUAAGAUGAAAUGAGCAGAAGCAGGCAGAAUACAUAGAUGAGCGAACGGAACAUCAAUCUCUUUAUAACCUCUUCUGUCUAUACUUCAAGAAUGGAUAUCCUACAAGCCGACUUCGUAGAGUCUCCCUUGAAAGUGGACCUCGUGAUCUAGCCUUUAUGUCCGUGGAUAGACACUGUUGUAUAUAUACACUUCCUCGGUUUCGAGAUUCCUGCUCUGGUGGUUGUAGUCAUAAGAUAUACAUAGUUGUGUAGUCAUUGCUCACAUCUUGGUUGUGGGCACACACACUAGUGUUGAAUUACCACCUUGUCCAAGUGGAUGGAUGCCCUCAAUGGGAUUGGCACAUUCUCCAUUGCUCC